Molecule: unclassified non-coding RNA, 331 nt
Filed under: soil metagenome
Description: partial contains 5.8S ribosomal RNA, internal transcribed spacer 2, and large subunit ribosomal RNA
Rfam family: 5.8S ribosomal RNA (bases 1-120)
Source: RNAcentral
GAUGAAGAACGCAGCGAAAUGCGAUAAGUAGUGUGAAUUGCAGAAUUCAGUGAAUCAUCGAAUCUUUGAACGCACAUUGCGCCCUUUGGUAUUCCUUAGGGCAUGCCUGUUCGAGCGUCAUUUAAACCUUCAAGCUAAGCUUGGUGUUGGGUGACUGUCCGCUUCACGGCGGACUCGCCUCAAAAUUAUUGGCGGCCGGUACAUUGCUUCGAGCGCAGCAGAAACGCGAACUCGGGCCCGUCGUAUUGGCUCCCAGAAGCUAUCUUCACAAUUUUGACCUCGGAUCAGGUAGGGAUACCCGCUGAACUUAAGCAUAUCAAUAAGCGGAGGA